This 266-nucleotide ribosomal RNA is filed under the name uncultured Weissella sp. RNAcentral's name for it is "partial 16S ribosomal RNA". It matches the Rfam family "Bacterial small subunit ribosomal RNA", at positions 84 to 339 of the family's 1533-position model. Lineage: Bacteria; Bacillati; Bacillota; Bacilli; Lactobacillales; Lactobacillaceae. The record is from RNAcentral.
AUUGCAAAAGAGUGGCGAACGGGGUGAGUAACACGUGGGAAACCUACCUCUUAGCAAGGGGAUAACAUUUGGAAACAGAAUGCUAAUACCGUAUAACAAUAGCAACCGCAUGGUUGCUACUUAAAAGAUGGUUCUGGCUAUCACUAAGUAGAUGGUCCCGCGGUGCAUUAGUUAGUUGGUGAGGUAAUGGCUCACCAAGACGAUGAUGCAUAGCCGAGUUGAGAGACUGAUCGGCCACAAUGGGACUGAGACACGGCCCAUACUCC